Long non-coding RNA from Dromiciops gliroides (monito del monte), 347 nucleotides. RefSeq lists it as uncharacterized. The transcript is spliced from 3 exons. NCBI's taxonomy places the organism in Eukaryota, Metazoa, Chordata, Mammalia, Microbiotheria, Microbiotheriidae. The record is from RefSeq and is a predicted model, not a curated record.
AAAAGAAGAAAAUAUGUUUCAAUCUGCCAUUUUAGUCCAUCAGUUCUCUAUCUGGAGACUAAAUUGGAAUGUAGCCAUAAAAGGGUUUUAAAAAAGCCUCUUCUGUUUAUGAGACAAGCAUGGGAAAGUCACCUGGCCAAGGCAGACAGAGCGGCCCAGGCACGUCCAAGCUUGAGUGACAAAAGCUCCCUCCCUUGUAAUAAAGUAAAGGGGUAAAAUGUUCUGCAAAACUGAACAACCUAUCAAAAAAGUGUGACAUUUGGCAAAGAAUGGAAUGGAAUGCUAUUAUGCUGUAAGAAACGAUGAACAGGAGGAGUUCAGAGAAAUCUGGAAGGACUUACAUGAAC